GAUGAUGAGUCAGACUCUGGAAAAAGGAAAAAGCGGGGCAGAUCAAAGAGGAGGAGUGGGAAGAAGAAAGGACAGAGUGAUUCGGAGGAUGAUGAUGAAGAUAAGGAUCACAGGAAGAGGAGAAAGGAUAAGAGGAGGAAACGGGAUGGCUCAUCAGACGAGGAUGAAGAUCAUAGGAGGAUGAGAAAAAGUAGGAAGGAGAAGAGGAGGAGGAGAAGUCAUAGACAUGCGGACAGUUCUGAUGAAUCAAGUGAUGAUUCUCCUCCACGGC
RNAcentral lists this long non-coding RNA (271 nucleotides) under Nicotiana tabacum (common tobacco). Its description in RNAcentral is "long non-coding RNA (NTAB_LNC010844)". The record is from RNAcentral. Lineage: Eukaryota; Viridiplantae; Streptophyta; Magnoliopsida; Solanales; Solanaceae.